CUUGAUUGGUCGGUCGGCCAGCACUGCUGACGUCUGAUUGGCUGAGACAAAGAAGGGACUAAGGCCGUAGGGGUGGGGGUUUGUGGAUUUCAUUCUUUGCCUUUUCGCUCCGGCGGUGGCCGCUGCUCUUUCGGACCUUCCUGAACUCUGCGGCCUUUUCCUCUCUGCUUCCGUGGUCCCUAUCAUAACGCUACCUGCAUUUCCUUGUCCUUCUCUACCAAACAGCACCUGGAGAUAGGGACAUGGGGUUCGUGCUGCUCACCACUGUCUCCCCAGGGCCUAGCACACAGUACGUGCUCAAAACGGUUGCAUUCACAGGUAUCGGCGGUCAGGACUUCAAUAUAUCUUUCUGGGGGACACAGUUCAACAAGGCUCAAUGAGGAAAGAACAUUUUGAUUAGUAGGGAACAUCGAGAGCAGAGGCCCCAGGGCUGCACAAGGUGGAUGUCCCUGUCGCUGCCCACUGUUCUCUUGGGACUACACAGAUCCUGGUGCCUAGCAGCUGUGGAAACAGAGUUGGGAGGCAGCCGACCCUCUGGACAUCAGGCCUUUUCAGCUGACCCUGCCCAGCCUGGUGCCAGAGCAGGGCCCUGCCUGCCUGCCCCUCCUCCCUCUUCCUGCCUGGUCCUCAUUCCCACCCACAUCCCAAGAUGGACAAGGACAAUAAAAGCUGUUUCAUAAGCAGCUGGUGAUUAAUUGCCAAGCUAAUUAAAG
Molecule: long non-coding RNA, 713 nt
Filed under: Homo sapiens (human)
Lineage: Eukaryota; Metazoa; Chordata; Mammalia; Primates; Hominidae
Description: HSALNT0278374
Source: RNAcentral